This 227-nucleotide long non-coding RNA is filed under the name Oryza brachyantha (malo sina). RNAcentral's name for it is "long non-coding RNA (OBRA_LNC000975)". The record is from RNAcentral. Lineage: Eukaryota; Viridiplantae; Streptophyta; Magnoliopsida; Poales; Poaceae.
AGGCUCCAGCACAGUGCUGCAAGAGCAUGCAUGCUACUGGAGUGCUCGUAGCUGCUUCUGCUGCUUCUCUGCAACUGAACUGAAUAUUUGUACAUGCUGCAGGACUGAAACAUGAUGCACGCAAAGUUGCACAGACAAUUACGCCAAGUACUACACCUACUGAGAAAAGAAAAAGGAGUAUACGCAUAGAAUUUUUUUAUUAUAUCCGUUCAUAAAUAUAAGGAUUU